UACGUAGGGGGCAAGCGUUAUCCGGAUUUACUGGGUGUAAAGGAAGCGUAGACGGCAAUACAAGUCGGAAGUGAAAUACCCGGGCUCAACCUGGGAACUGCUUUGGAAACUGUAUGGCUGGAGUGCUGGAGAGGUAAGCGGAAUUCCUAGUGUAGCGGUGAAAUGCGUAGAUAUUAGGAGGAACACCAGUGGCGAAGGCGGCUUACUGGACAGUAACUGACGUUGAGGCUCGAAAGCGUGGGGAGCAAACAGG
Molecule: ribosomal RNA, 253 nt
Filed under: uncultured bacterium
Lineage: Bacteria
Description: partial 16S ribosomal RNA
Rfam family: Bacterial small subunit ribosomal RNA
Source: RNAcentral